AAAAAAAAAAGACGCGGCGGACGACCAUUCAAUGGAUUGAGAGAGCUCCGUGACGUGAGAGGACUAUAAACCGACGGUCAGUUCUUUCUACUCGAACACUUCCUUCAUCAAUGUCCUGUUGGCCUCUUCACCUCUCUCUGCCAUGAUGUCCAUAGAAGCUGUUGAACCCAGUUCUGUUCCAGGUCAGACAUGAUAUCCCAAACCUCCUCCUCCUCCCAGCAGUGCAGAGCUCCGGGGCUUCUUACAGUAAGCAAGAAGUCGCAGCAGCGUGCUUGGCGGCCAUGAUGAGUCCAACAUGGAGGUGUUUUUCACACUGUGUGGGCGUCCUCAGAGGAGACGGAGCUCCUCGCUGGCUGCCGUCCACACAGUAAGUGCUCUUCAUACAAUCAAACGCGCUGCAUCUCGCUGCUCUCUAAUUCAGCCGGUGCACGUUCAAGUGUUUCAUCAGAUUCAUGCUGCGUUUCAUCAGUUCGGCCUUUUAAGAAAUCUCGCUGUGCACAUUAUCAGCAUCUGUUCUAUAUAAUGAGACCUUUGACCUGUUUGGA
This is a long non-coding RNA of Centropristis striata (black sea bass), 545 nucleotides long. RefSeq lists it as uncharacterized. The transcript is spliced from 3 exons. Lineage: Eukaryota; Metazoa; Chordata; Actinopteri; Perciformes; Serranidae. The record is from RefSeq and is a predicted model, not a curated record.